Oryzias melastigma (Indian medaka) is the source of this 2163-nucleotide long non-coding RNA. RefSeq lists it as uncharacterized. The transcript has 2 exons. The record is from RefSeq and is a predicted model, not a curated record. NCBI's taxonomy places the organism in Eukaryota, Metazoa, Chordata, Actinopteri, Beloniformes, Adrianichthyidae.
AAUAAUACUGUUGUGACAGUAAAAUCUGCCCAACACUAGAAGCUCUCAGCCCGCAUCUGUUUGCUCAGCUGCUGGACAGGACAAGUUAAAAAAAUAAAUAUAUAAAUUAAUAUUUUAAGAUGACAACCAUUCAAACCGACUCCUAAAAAUAACUGAAGCCUAAAGAACAAAUAUAUCAGAACCUUUUUUGUUUUUAAUAUGAAAUAUUUCAAAAUGAAAUGAGUUAACUUAAACAUGUUUACCACUCAUUAAAUUGAGAUAGUAUGUAAUUACCUAUAUAAAGAACAAGUUGUCACAUUCUGGUGAACUCUUUCUUCUGUUAGUUUCUCAUUGUCCAGUCUCCAGAUGAACUUCUUUUCCCUCCACAUUAGCUUUGCCUCCCACAAAGUCGGCCCUCUUUCCAUUUUUACCUGCAGUUUCCACAACAGGCCAAAGAGCAGCUCUGACCUCCUUGUCUUCUUUGGACAGAUCUUCACCAAAGUGAAGCUUGUUUUCUCGCAGGUAGGUGUUGUUUUUGGCAUUUCUCCAGAUCUCAUCUCGAACAGAGCGGUAGGCGAACAGAGUGAUGAUUCCUCGGGUCUUCUUGCCGUCUUGUCUUCCCAGCCGGUGUGCAACAUCAAUCCCAUCAGCUCCUCUUGAUAGGAAUGUCUGGGAGAGGCGUCAACUCCAUAUCGCCUUCUUUCAUAUGAGCUCAUGCUCACUUGUUUUAUUCUUCGAUGUAUCAGGGGCUCUCAACUUUCGCUUGUUAUCUUCUUUUUUUCCGUAGCUGCUCAUUUUUUCUGUGAAAAGUUUCAUUGGUAGCAUUAGCCUGCAAAUUAAUUGAUGUCCCCAAGCUAGCACUAUGCUCAAAGCUUAGUUUUUGUAAAUAAUUGGUCUUAAUACAAGUUCUUGUGAUCAAAGUUCAUUUGUUCAGUGUUCCAAUAAUUCCAUAAAUAUUAGUUGGCUACUUUAAAUUGUUAUUAAUUGCUUGGAGAUCCGGUAAAAUGCGUGUGGACUCACCUCCAUCUUGAAUCAGCCCUCGGGCCAAAACUGUUUAUUGCAGGUACAGAAAACAUAAUUUUAACCAUAGAUAUAAUAGAGAGUAGAUGCUGCAUUGGCUGCUGGGGCGCAGGAAAAGAAGCAUGAGCAUUGAGUGGAGUGAACAUUCUCAUUCAAAUCGGUGGACUAUUGAAAGCAGGGCUCGGGGGAUCACUUUUCACAAGUAAGUUUGAACGUUUUUAUCUGUUAUAUUUUUGGAAUAGGCUGUAAUAUCCCUGCACUGUUAUGUUCACCAGCGAACUCUUAGUCAGCUAAUGUCAGCUAUAGGCUAUAUCUAGUGUUGGUGUUCACCUAGCUAUGAAGGGUAACUGAGACUUUUUAAAUCAUAUAUUCCAUAACAAUAACUUAGAUUACAACUGACACAAUAAUGCUACUAAUAUCUCUCAUGGCCAUCCAACCUCAGAGAUUUAAAAAUACAAACAACUGAAGGUCUGGCUGACUCACAAUUUCAGCAGCUUUGCUUCAUUAUCAAAAGAAAUGUGAAAUUUUAUUUUGUUGACAAAAGGUUCUAAUAAAUGUGAAGGAUGAAGUAAAUAGGAACAAUGGAAUAAAAUGGGAAGAUAGAAAAUGGAAAACUAUGAAUAAUAAGAAGAAUGAAGAAAAUAAGAUUGACCUCUUUUAUAAUGUGUUUAAGGAGCAUGCAGGAACCCAGAAGAUAAGAAACUUGCACUGCAAACAUGAAAAGCACACACCAUGAUCACUGUCACAUAUAUAUUUAUAUCAUUUAUUAUGCUUCUCCAUUUUAUCCAGAAAAGGGCAGGGCCACAUCUACCUCCAGAAAAAGAAGAAGCUGAAGAGAGCCUGUCAGUGCCCUCUCAGGAUGAGACUUCAACCUCACCCCCUCAGCAUGAGCCCUAAUGAUAUUACACCCAGUGACGUGCUGAGAGCUGCAGAGAGGGGGAUUCAUCAGGCUUCAACAAAGCAGCUCCAAAGGUGUCAACAGUCACACACACCGACCUGGAGGAGAUUGGAACAGAGGACGUUUUUCUGCUUGGAGACCAAUAGCGGGGACACAGUUUGGCAUCGACAACCAUCAUUCCAACUUGUCAUUGGUUGUUUUUGUGUUUCUGAAGAUAAGGCUGCACAACAUUGAAAACGUACCUCUGUUGACCUGCAGAAAGGAAG